AGAGUUUGAUCAUGGCUCAGAACGAACGCUGGCGGCAGGCUUAACACAUGCAAGUCGAACGCACCCUUCGGGGUGAGUGGCAGACGGGUGAGUAACACGUGGGAACGUGCCCUUCAGUUCGGAAUAACCCAGGGAAACUUGGGCUAAUACCGGAUACGCCCCUUGGGGGAAAGAUUGAUCGCUGAAGGAUCGGCCCGCGUCUGAUUAGCUAGUUGGUGAGGUAAGAGCUCACCAAGGCGACGAUCAGUAGCUGGUCUGAGAGGAUGAUCAGCCACACUGGGACUGAGACACGGCCCAGACUCCUACGGGAGGCAGCAGUGGGGAAUAUUGGACAAUGGGCGCAAGCCUGAUCCCAGCCAUGCCGCGUGAGUGAUGAAGGCCUUAGGGUUGUAAAGCUCUUUCGGCGGGGACGAUAAUGACGGUACCCGCAGAAGAAGCCCCGGCUAACUUCGUGCCAGCAGCCGCGGUAAUACGAAGGGGGCUAGCGUUGUUCGGAAUCACUGGGCGUAAAGGGCGCGUAGGCGGCUUUAUAAGUCGGGGGUGAAAGCCUGUGACUCAACCACAGAAUUGCCUUCGAUACUGUAUGGCUUGAGACCGGAAGAGGUAAGUGGAACUGCGAGUGUAGAGGUGAAAUUCGUAGAUAUUCGCAAGAACACCAGUGGCGAAGGCGGCUUACUGGUCCGGUUCUGACGCUGAGGCGCGAAAGCGUGGGGAGCAAACAGGAUUAGAUACCCUAGUAGUCC
RNAcentral lists this ribosomal RNA (743 nucleotides) under uncultured bacterium. Its description in RNAcentral is "bacterial SSU rRNA". It matches the Rfam family "Bacterial small subunit ribosomal RNA", at positions 8 to 796 of the family's 1533-position model. The record is from RNAcentral.